This 503-nucleotide ribosomal RNA is filed under the name uncultured Roseburia sp. RNAcentral describes it as "partial 16S ribosomal RNA". The record is from RNAcentral. Lineage: Bacteria; Bacillati; Bacillota; Clostridia; Lachnospirales; Lachnospiraceae.
CACGUAUUUAGCCGGUGCUUCUUACUCAGGUACCGUCAUUUUUCUUCCCUGCUGAUAGAGCUUUACAUACCGAAAUACCUCUUCGCUCACGCGGCGUCGCUGCAUCAGGGUUUCCCCCAUUGUGCAAUAUUCCCCACUGCUGCCUCCCGUAGGAGUUUGGGCCGUGUCUCAGUCCCAAUGUGGCCGGCCACCCUCUCAGGUCGGCUACUGAUCGUCGCCUUGGUGGGCCUCUCCCCCGCCAACUAGCUAAUCAGACGCGGGCCCAUCCCAUACCACCGGAGUUUUUCACACCAGGCCAUGCGGCCCUUGUGCGCUUAUGCGGUUUUAGCAGCCGUUUCCGGCUGUUAUCCCCCUGUAUGGGGCAGGUUGCCCACGCGUUACUCACCCGUCCGCCACUCAGUCACAAUUUCUUCUUCCCCGAAGGAAAUCUAAAAGAGUGCUUCGUUCGACUUGCAUGUGUUAAGCACGCCGCCAGCGUUCAUCCUGAGCCAGGAUCAAACUCU